Small nuclear RNA from Dioscorea cayenensis subsp. rotundata (Guinea yam), 113 nucleotides. RefSeq annotates it as U5 spliceosomal RNA. The record is from RefSeq and is a predicted model, not a curated record. The transcript has a single exon. Lineage: Eukaryota; Viridiplantae; Streptophyta; Magnoliopsida; Dioscoreales; Dioscoreaceae.
AGCUGCGUGGCGUGCACAAAGCGAACUAUUCUUUCGCCUUUUACUAAAGAAUACCGUGUGCCCACCACUCCGAGCAGCAUACGCUUAUUUUUAUAAAGGGUAUUCCUGUCUUU